GUAUGUAGCUCAGUGAUAGAGUACAUGCUUUAUAGUAUGAUGUCCUGUGUUCAAUCCCCAGCUUCU
Dallia pectoralis (Alaska blackfish) is the source of this 66-nucleotide non-coding RNA. The record is from the annotation of a GenBank genome assembly. NCBI's taxonomy places the organism in Eukaryota, Metazoa, Chordata, Actinopteri, Esociformes, Umbridae.